This 447-nucleotide ribosomal RNA is filed under the name uncultured bacterium. Its description in RNAcentral is "partial 16S ribosomal RNA". It matches the Rfam family "Bacterial small subunit ribosomal RNA", at positions 29 to 523 of the family's 1533-position model. The record is from RNAcentral.
AACGAACGCUGGCGGCAGGCUUAACACAUGCAAGUCGAGCGCCCCGCAAGGGGAGCGGCAGACGGGUGAGUAACGCGUGGGAAUCUACCGUACCCUACGGAAUAGCUCCGGGAAACUGGAAUUAAUACCGUAUACGCCCUACGGGGGUAAGAUUUAUCGGGGUAUGAUGAGCCCGCGUUGGAUUAGCAAGUUGGUGGGGGAAAGGCCUACCAAGGCGACGCUCCAUAGCUGGUCGGAGAGGAUGAUCGGCCACAUUGGGAGGGAGCCACGGCCCAAACUCCUACGGGAGGCAGCAGUGGGGAAUAUUGGACAAUGGGCGCAAGCCUGAUCCAGCCAUGCCGCGUGAGUGAUGAAGGUCUUAGGAUUGUAAAGCUCUUUCACCGAUGAAGAUAAUGACGGUAGUCGGAGAAGAAGCCCCGGCUAACUUCGUGCCAGCCGCCGCAGUAA